Molecule: long non-coding RNA, 1524 nt
Organism: Juglans microcarpa x Juglans regia
Lineage: Eukaryota; Viridiplantae; Streptophyta; Magnoliopsida; Fagales; Juglandaceae
Exons: 2
Source: RefSeq, a predicted model, not a curated record
UAUUUCCUAGAAACUAUACUUCAACGGUUUCUUUCCCGCGGCACGUCAUGUUCUCUCCCUUCUCCUGUGCUUUCUCUCCAGCACACUACUCAACUCGUCCCCAUCGCCAGGUUCUCCCCAGCCUGCUCACACCGAAGCCCCUUCUCACAAGUUUCAUUUUCUCUUCCUCUCUUUCUCGUGUUUCAUGUUCUUGGGUGAAAUUCGAGUGUGAGAUUUGUGAAUCUAGAAAUUUGGGUGAAAUUUGUGCAAGCAUACUGUGUUUUGCGAUUUGUCUCUCUUUCUCUCAUUCUCUGUCUCCCCAACGUGCGCAAACGCCCUGUGUUUUGCGAUUUGUGUCAUCCAAAACAGGUUACGCUUCUCACAUCAUGAGUAAUUUCUCUCGUUCUGGAUUUUUGUCUGUCCCUCGUUCCUUGAUUUGCAUUGUAUUCUUUCUUUGUUCUGAUGUUGGUUAUAUUGGGUUACUUUCAUUUUUUCUGAGCUUAAUGCUCGGCUAUAUUAGUUUGUGUUCCAUGAAGCUUAGCAUCUUUCUAUCAUCUUUUGUUAUUCUUUUCGUUGAAUGAUUUGAAGACUUGAAAUUUCUGGUCUGGGUUUUGUUUCAUCGGCAUUAUAUUUGCUUCAUUUGGUUGUUCCAUAGGAGUAGUUUGCUGAUUUUAUGCAAUUAGUCAAUAUUCCGAUGUUGGAUAUGAUGGAAUUCUAUGAUCAGGACCAAUGUCACAAGUAAAAAAAGAAGCUUUCCUUUGGAAAGAUUAUAUUUUGAUUUUUCGCUACUAUUUGUGUCACUAUGAAUGCACUUAUGUGGCAAUUGUAUGGUUAGUAGCUCAUCAACAGCAAAGAAUUUGGCAAUUUGUUUCGUUUCCUAUCGACGAAUUUCGUGAUGUGCCCUAGCUGUAUCUUCUGAUAUAUAUUAUUUUUCAUCUCCCUUUCUCUUUCUUCAUUGAUUAACCCUUUAGUUUUUUUUAAUAAUUCUUUAUGUUUGUUGGUUGUGUUUCCAAUUCUUGAUUUAUCUCCAAUCUCCAGUUUUACAUGGCUUCAAUAUUUUUCUGAUUCAACGGCUAUUUUUUUGAAGUCCAAAAUCUGAUAUAUUUUUGAAAAGGUUAGUGAUCCGAGUUCAACAGCUCGGUUUAAUAGUCGUUUGUCAUUCUGCUCUGUUAUAUGAAUUGAGCAAGGAAAUUGCUUGGAACCCAUGAUAAGGCUUGUUAAUAGGGUCCCUAAACGUGUAGAAGAUGGGUAUUUCCUCGUCAUAAGCUCUCUCACAAGGCAGCUAGGUUGGAAGGAGGCCAUGCGUGCAUUGCCUUUGAUGAUAACUUGGUGUGACCAAAUUAUGAGAGACUCAAUAAAACCCUUUAUAUCUGAGUUGAGUUAAAUGUGACCAAUUUAUGGGAUUUAAAUCUAUCUAUAAGAUUUUUUGAAGUAGAUUGACUUCUACUGGAAACUAAAUUCUGUCUUUUGGUGCUUUUUGGGAGGAAUUCAUGUACAAAUUCGAACUAUGAUGAAAAAUCCAUCUGGUUACUAGUUCUUAGUUUU